GUGAGGAAUAUUGGUCAAUGGACGAAAGUCUGAACCAGCCAUGCCGCGUGAAGGAUGAAGGCCCUCUGGGUUGUAAACUUCUUUUAUCUGGGACGAAAAAAGGGUAUUCUUACUCACUUGACGGUACCAGAGGAAUAAGCACCGGCUAACUCCGUGCCAGCAGCCGCGGUAAUACGGAGGGUGCAAGCGUUAUCCGGAUUCACUGGGUUUAAAGGGUGCGUAGGUGGGUAUUUAAGUCAGUGGUGGAAUCUCCGAGCUUAACUCGGAAACUGCCAUUGAUACUAUGUACCUUGACUGCCCUGGAGGUAAGCGGAAUAUGUCAGGUAGCGGUGAAAUGCUUAGAUAUGACAUAGAACACCAAUUGCGAAGGCAGCUUACUACGGGGUGAUUGACACUGAGGCACGAAAGCGUGGGGAGCAAACAGGAUUAGAAACCCCUGUAGUCC
Molecule: ribosomal RNA, 445 nt
Filed under: uncultured bacterium
Lineage: Bacteria
Description: partial 16S ribosomal RNA
Rfam family: Bacterial small subunit ribosomal RNA
Source: RNAcentral